GAUGAAGAACGUAGCGAAAUGCGAUAAGUAAUGCGAAUUGCAGAAUUCCGUGAGUCAUCGAAUCUUUGAACGCGCAUUGCGUCCUCUGGUAUUCCGGAGGGCAUGCCUGUCUGAGCGUCAUUGUCAACCCUCAAGCUCAGCUUGCUGUUGGGUCCCCGUCGUUGCUUUAACGGCGGACCCGAAAGGUAAUGGCAGAGUCCGUGAGACCCUAGACGCAGCGAGCUUCUAGCACGCGUCUGGACGUUUUUCGGGCUCGGUCUUAACUAGAUGAUAACUUCCGAUUGACCUCAGAUCAGGUAGGGAUACCCGCUGAACUUAAGCAUAUCAAUAAGCGGAGGA
RNAcentral lists this unclassified non-coding RNA (339 nucleotides) under soil metagenome. Its description in RNAcentral is "partial contains 5.8S ribosomal RNA, internal transcribed spacer 2, and large subunit ribosomal RNA". The stretch from base 1 to 120 matches the Rfam family "5.8S ribosomal RNA", at positions 35 to 154 of the family's 154-position model. The record is from RNAcentral.